Vitis vinifera (wine grape) is the source of this 3738-nucleotide RNA transcript. It is a transcript of the gene named SWI/SNF complex subunit SWI3D, with no coding region annotated. The record is from RefSeq and is a predicted model, not a curated record. Lineage: Eukaryota; Viridiplantae; Streptophyta; Magnoliopsida; Vitales; Vitaceae. The transcript has 8 exons.
CAGACAAUAAACUUUCGGCUCCCUACUACGCAGGCGAGAUUUCAAUGAUACUGUGAGCUCCUGCAAACAAAACGACGACACUUUGAUUGUAAUAUACACCUUCAUCAAGAAAAAUGGCGCAGGCCAAUUACCGUAUCUACGAUUUUAAUCUGCACCGUCAAAAUAGCGAAAAUCAUGAGAGUGCAGGGAACGAAUAUGGACCGCCGCUACACCAAAGUUUCAAAUGUUAAAGAAGUAGAUCUACAAACGCAACGAUCAGAGUGAACGAAACCCUCGAUGGAGGAGAAGCGUCGAGAGGCCGGAAGUCUGCCGCCGGCGAGCUCUUCUGCUGGGACGGUUACAGCAAAGGUGACUGAAACGGAGCCUAAAUCGGAGCCUCCGUCGUCUCGCCGGAGAGCCGGAGGCCAGAAGAGGAAAUCCAAUAACCUCAGCGCUUCUAAUUCGACGCCGUCGAAGCGCCUCGCCCGCGAGAAAGCUUUAGCUCCUCCUCUCGCUUCGAUCCACAAUGGUCCUUGCACCAGAGCUCGCCAAUCUCCAAACAACGUUUCAUCGGCUGCUGCUGCCACUGCCGCGGCGUCUGGUGCCUUGCAGAAGUUGGAUCAGCCGGAAGCGGCUCCAGGGGCUUCAUCCAGUGGAGCUGGGCUGACUGCAGAAGAAUUGAAUGUGAAAAAUGAAGAUUGGGAGGCCUUGGAGGCUGAGAUGGCCGCUGAGUUUGAAGCUAUAAGGUCUCGUGAUGCUAAUGUUCAUGUGGUUCCGAGCUCAUCAGGUUGGUUUUCAUGGACAAAAGUUCACCCUCUUGAGGCGCAGGCAAUGCCUUCAUUCUUCAAUGGAAAGUCUGAGAACCGGAAUCCUGAUAUGUACAAACAAAUACGUGACUGGAUUAUAAAGAGAUUUCAUGGAAAUCCAAACACGCAAAUUGAAGUAAAAGAUCUGUCAGAACUCGAAAUUGGAGACCUGGAUGCAAGACAAGAGGUGAUGGAGUUUCUGGAUUACUGGGGCUUGAUUAAUUUCCAUCCAUUCCUACCUGCGGAAUCUAGUGUGGCAAAUGGUGAUGAUGAUACGGCUAAACAACUGGAUUCUUCCGUUGAAAAAUUGUAUCGCUUUGACAUGGUACAAUCGUGUCCACCAGUGGUCCCAAAAGCCAAUAUGUCCGCACCAACCAUGGCAUCUGGGUUGUUUCCUGAGUCUGCCUUCGUUGAAGAGUUGGUUAGGUCUGAGGGUCCAUCUGUUGAGUACCAUUGUAACUCCUGCUCAGCUGAUUGCUCCCGCAAGCGUUACCAUUGCCAGAAGCAGGCAGAUUUCGACUUGUGUACUGAAUGCUUCAAUAACCAAAAGUUUGGCUCUGACAUGUCCUCAUCAGAUUUCAUUCUCAUGGAGCCUGCCGAGGCGCCUGGAGUAAGUGGCGGGAAGUGGACUGAUCAGGAGACCCUCCUACUCCUUGAAGCAUUGGAGCUAUAUAAAGAAAACUGGAAUGAGAUUGCUGAGCAUGUUGCCACGAAAACAAAAGCUCAGUGUAUAUUGCACUUUGUUCAAAUGCCAAUUGAGGACACCUUUAUUGAUUGUGAGGAUGAAACUAAUGUGAAUCCCCAAGAAAAUGCUGAUCCAGUUUCAGCUAAUAAUGACUCGUCUGUUCCUAAAGACAUCCCUGAAUCAACAGAGAGCAAAACUGAUGUUAGCGAGGGUCAUCCCCCAUCAUCUGCAAUGGAAACUUCAAAACCAGAGGGUCCACCUCUGUCUUCUCCAAUGGAAACUUCAAAACCUGAGAGUCAGCCCCCACCAUCCCCAAUGGAAACUUCAAAACCAGAAGGAGGCAAUGAAAUGAAAGAUAAUCAGGAGACAGGUGAAGCUUGUGCCCUGAAGGCCCUUAGAGAAGCUUUUGAAGCAGUUGGUUCUCUUCCAACGCCUGGAGCCCCACUUACUUUUACUGAUGCUGGGAACCCUGUCAUGGCAUUGGCAGUAUUCCUGACCCAAUUGGUGGGAUCUGGUCGUGCUUCUGCUGCAGUUCAUAGUUCUUUAAAAUCCAUGUCUAGCAAUUCUCCUGGCAUGCAACUAGCUGCAAGGCACUGCUAUAUUUUGGAAGAUCCACCAGAUGACAAGAAGGAGCAAGUUGGUUCUGAGAGUGCUACUGCUGAAAUGGUUGACCAGGAUGCCCACAAAGAUGAAAACAUGAAAGAUGUGAACGAGAAAGAUGAAAAACAGAAGGACGUAAACCAAAAAGAUGCAAGCCAGGAGGAUGAAAACCAGAAACAUGAAAACCAGAAGGAAUUGAAUCAAAAAGAGGAAAACCAGAAGGAUGUAAACCAGAGAGAGGAACACUCCAUAUCAAUUUUGGAGGGCAGUGAUACGUUAAAAGAUCAGAAUGAAAAUAAAAUUGAGGAUUCUGUUCCAGAAGAAAAGUUAUCGGUUCCUCCCAAUGGUGAAUGCACUGAGAAAUCACUUGCUGCAAAAGAACCAGAUGUUGUGGUUUCUAAUGACAGUGAACCUGGUAUUUUGAGUCAAUCAAGCAAUUCAGAUUUGCCGAAGGAUUGCCCGCCCAAUUCUGUGGACAAAUCAGAUGAUUUGACACCAAAGGCAGGGCUUCUGCCUAGUUCUAUGAAGGAGUCGGGAGAUGGAGCUUCAGUAAAGGACCACUCUCAACCUUCUGAGGCACCAAAGGAUGUGGAUACAGUGCCCGAGUCUCUGCCCCUACAAACAAAAGAGCCCCUGCAAUCUCUUACCUCUAACACUUUGGUUGAGAAUGGAGCAAAUACAGGCAGGGAUCAAACAAAGGAAGGUAAAAGCGAGAGCCAUGACUCAAGCAAGACAAAACCGGAUCCUAGUAUUGAUAAAAUAAAGCGGGCUGCAACUUCUGCACUCUCAGCGGCAGCAGUGAAAGCAAAGCUUCUUGCAAAUCAAGAAGAAGAUCAAAUCCAACAGUUUGCUACAUUGUUGAUUGAAAAGCAGCUGCAUAAGCUAGAAACCAAAUUGGCUUUCUUCAACGAGAUGGAAAGUGUCAUUACGAGGGUUAGGGAACAAAUGGACAGGUCUAGGCAAAGACUCUACCAUGAGCGGGCACAGAUAAUUGCAGCGCGACUUGGCUUUGCGGGUUCCUCAUCUAGACCAACAGCCCCAUCAUUACCUAUCAAUAGACCUGGAAUGAGCUUUCCAACUUCAGUUCCAAGGCCUCCAAUGGGCAUGACCUCUCAAAGGCCACCAAUGUCGAGACCCAUGAUGAUGGCUCCUUCCUCAUUAAACACACUUGUAUCUAGUACAGUGGCAGGAAGUUCAAUUCGGCCUCCCAGCCAGGAUAAACUUUCAUCAGUCGGCACAAAGUAACAUUUAGUCAAGGACAUAUGGGUGCAAUCUCAUUCAUUCUACUACAGUGUUUAUCUGCGCCCGAUUUUACUAACCAAAUCUUGGAAAGCUAUUGCUCAAGUUUGAGUUGAAGAGCCCGACAGCUACCUGUGUAGGAUUUUUGCAGGCCUGAAACCUAUUCUCAUCUCCUCUUCUGCAUCAUUAUGGGAAGAGCGGAUUGAUGCUCAUUGGCAUCCUUCCCUUGCUGGCCCCCUUUGAAGCAAAAAGCAAAAAGCAAAAGCCUUGUUUGUGAUGGAAAUUCGAGGGAAAGUAGUUUGGUAACUUAAAUAGCCCUCAGCUGCUAAGGGGGUUAAAUUUGUCCUUUCAAAGAUCUGUAUCUUUUUCUUUGACCUUGUCCAAACACCUUAGAAGCUUCAAUGUUGAAAAGUAGAGGUUUCAUUUGGA